UCGAUAAACGUCAUCAUCCUGUAAUAAUGUAUCAUUUGAUCGUGAAUAUGUUUAAGAACUGUACGAUAAAUCUUCUCUUUAUUGCACACUAGCAUGAUUCUAAGGACUUUAUCAUUGUACAAGAGUUCAAGAAAGAUGUGAUUUUGUGAUAAAAAAUAUCAGAAUAAUUUUUAUUUUCAAUAAUCAAUAAUUCAUAUACAAUAAUGAACUCAAUCAUCACAUGAUUGGUUUUAGGACAUAAUUUUCAACACUAACAGUUAUUGGUGAUGGAUCAACCGAUAGGUGGACA
Molecule: long non-coding RNA, 289 nt
Filed under: Elaeis guineensis (African oil palm)
Lineage: Eukaryota; Viridiplantae; Streptophyta; Magnoliopsida; Arecales; Arecaceae
Description: long non-coding RNA (EGUI_LNC070501)
Source: RNAcentral